Molecule: ribosomal RNA, 443 nt
Filed under: uncultured bacterium
Lineage: Bacteria
Description: partial 16S ribosomal RNA
Rfam family: Bacterial small subunit ribosomal RNA
Source: RNAcentral
CCUACGGGUGGCAGCAGUAGGGAAUAUUGGACAAUGGGGGGAACCCUGAUGCAGCGACGCCGCGUGAGUGAAGAAGUAUUUCGGUAUGUAAAGCUCUAUCAGCAGGGAAGAAAGGAAUGACGGUACCUGACUAAGAAGCCCCGGCUAACUACGUGCCAGCAGCCGCGGUAAUACGUAGGGGGCAAGCGUUAUCCGGAUUUACUGGGUGUAAAGGGAGCGUAGACGGUUACGCAAGUCUGGAGUGAAAGGCGGCGUCUCAACCCCCGAACUGCUUUGGAAACUGUAUAACUGGAGUGCAGGAGAGGUAAGUGGAAUUCUUGGUGUAGCGGUGAAAUGCGUAGAUAUUAGGAGGAACACCAGUGGCGAAGGCGGCUUACUGGACUGUAACUGACGUUGAGGCUCGAAAGCGUGGGGAGCAAACAGGAUUAGAUACCCGAGUAGUC